This 265-nucleotide unclassified non-coding RNA is filed under the name Lactarius sp. VT2407. RNAcentral's name for it is "partial internal transcibed spacer 2". The record is from RNAcentral. Lineage: Eukaryota; Fungi; Basidiomycota; Agaricomycetes; Russulales; Russulaceae.
AACCUCAACCUCUUUGGUUUCUUCUGGGGACCAAAGCAGGCUUGGACUUUGGAGGCCUUUUGCUGGCACCUCUCUCUUUUGAAGGCCAGCUCCUCUUAAAUGAAUUAGCAGGGUCCUCUUUGCCGAUCCUCGACGUGUGAUAAGAUGUUUCCAUGUCUUGGUUUCUGGCUCUGUCACCUUUGGGACCCGCUUCUAACCGUCUUGACCUUGCGUCGAGACAAUGUUCGAGCAUGUCUCCCCAUUCUCGGGAAGCUCCCUCGACCCC